Molecule: long non-coding RNA, 295 nt
Filed under: Mytilus galloprovincialis (Mediterranean mussel)
Lineage: Eukaryota; Metazoa; Mollusca; Bivalvia; Mytilida; Mytilidae
Source: RNAcentral
CUUACCAGUAUACUAUGUGAAUCUUUACUGUCAUGUUGAUUGCUGACAAAUGAAACGUCUACAAAAAUAUUUUUACAGAUCCUGGUUUCUUUUUUCAACACUUUCUGAUUCAACUAAAGAAACGAGCAGAGGCAACCGAAUGGUGAAAUUAUUCUGGAACGACUAUAAGGAAGUAUUCCCUGUAUGGAAAGAGUAUUUAUUGUGCCAAAUGAAUAUUUCUAUGAAAUUGAUUUUCUCUCCUACAUAUCAAGAAAUUGAUAUAAACUGAAUUGCUUAGCAGGUUAUCUGGUUAUUC